CAAGUAAGCUGACGUCACUAUAGACGCAGCAGUGCAAUGGAGAACACAACACGCGGGUUCUUUGUGCGACAGGAAACGCUCCGCACCGCGGGCGAAUAUAAACCGGAGCCAGACGUUCCGUUGUAUCACUCGAGAUGGCUGCCUCAACCAGAACCGUUCUCCUUCUCUGCUUGGCCUUUGCGGUUGUGGCCGCGGUGGCGCAGGAUUCUGCUGACGCGCCGCCACCAGCGGUCCCUAGCGGUGAUGCCGCCAACAACCAGGAGCCGGUGCAGCCGGUGGUGGACGUCGGAGCUGCUGGGGACCAGGCGCUGCAAGACCGCUGGGGGAUAUCUGCGAGCUUCCAUACCGGCUGAGCGGCUUACUGCCGCGUCCAAGAAAUCAGAGAGCUCUGCUUUCUUUUAAACUUUUCUGUUUCUUCUACAGUUUAAACAUUUAACAUUAUUCCUGUUCCUAUAUCGAAAGGGACCUCUUCUUUUCUCAGAAACUAUAAAUGAACAUGUGUUACAAAAGAAUAAAUAAAUUUUAGCAUUCAGAAAGGUAA
Schistocerca cancellata (South American locust) is the source of this 541-nucleotide long non-coding RNA. RefSeq lists it as uncharacterized. The transcript has 2 exons. NCBI's taxonomy places the organism in Eukaryota, Metazoa, Arthropoda, Insecta, Orthoptera, Acrididae. The record is from RefSeq and is a predicted model, not a curated record.